AGUUUGGUGACACGUGUCUAUGUACGUGGAGUUAUUUUGGUAUGUGAGGUUCAGUGGCUCGCCGGCCUCCGUACUACUCGAGGUGAGUUUAGAACAUCUGCUUUCGUUAAUCAAAUUGAAUAGUUUAUUAAGAUUGCAUCAGAUAAUUUACUCAUUAAUCAUUAUUUAUAAGGAAAUUAUGAGUUUUUAGUUUGACCCGCCAACCAACAUUUGGUUUUGUUCACUUGUUUUUUUUUUUUUUUUUGAAAGUCACUUCUUGUUUUUACACUUCUUGUUUUUCACUUUCGUAAUAGAACCUAAAAAUCUUAUAGCAGCAAAUCUGACGCAGAUGGCCAAUUACGGUAAUUUAUCAAGAUGUGCUGAUGCACUGGGUCCUUUAUUUAUUUAUUUAUUUAUUGAGAGUCACUGGGUCCUUUAUUUACUUGAAUUAUUAUUGUUAUUUUUAAUUUAUACAAGCACACUACCAAGAGUGACUAAAACCAGUACCUGAAUCCUGAGCUACUACGAGGUAGACCUUCCCCUCAAAAAAGAAGUAAAUAACUCGGAAGCCAAUCUCCUUUGUUUGCUUGAAUUAAUAAAUAAUAGAUGCUCUCGGUAUUUCUGUUCGUGGGUCCUCGUUAUUAUCGUUGUUUGUAAUACGUAGGUCAUUAGCUUACUUCUGUCGAAAAAACAGAACACAAACUUUUGAUUAAGUGCUCCAUAUGCAGCCAGCGUUUGUGGAAUUUUUUCAGUUCUGUUUUGUGCUGUUGUUUUUCGAGUAGAAGAAAAAUUGAAUAGCUUUUUGCUAAACACAAUAACAGUAAGGCAUCAUUACAAAAGAAAUUGAUCGAGUAAGAGCAUAGUUUUAGGGGACAGUUAAACACCUGAAAAUAUUUUUUAAAAGAUACAUUUAAAAAAGAAAAGUAAAGAACAGUGGAAUCUACAAUCACAUAAAACAAGAGAUUAAACAAUCAUCUGCAUCUCACAAGUCAUAGACUUGCUUCCCAGUGAACUUAACCUCGAUGGGACUGACAUUCUUCCCAAUUGAUCUGUAAUUCACUCCCACUCCCUGGCGACCAGGGUUCACUUUUUCAGGAUAAACUCCAUCCUUGGGGUGAAGAUAUUGAACCUCACCAUUAGGAAAGACCCUGUAAAACUGGUACUUGAUCUUGUACUUUGAUCUCAAUCUAGUACCAAGAGCCA
This 1182-nucleotide long non-coding RNA is filed under the name Citrus maxima (pomelo). RNAcentral's name for it is "long non-coding RNA (CMAX_LNC002578)". Lineage: Eukaryota; Viridiplantae; Streptophyta; Magnoliopsida; Sapindales; Rutaceae. The record is from RNAcentral.